Long non-coding RNA from Drosophila subpulchrella, 1091 nucleotides. RefSeq lists it as uncharacterized. Lineage: Eukaryota; Metazoa; Arthropoda; Insecta; Diptera; Drosophilidae. The record is from RefSeq and is a predicted model, not a curated record. The transcript is spliced from 2 exons.
ACUCGAGAGUGCAGCACGCAAAGCGCUAAAAAAACACAAAACAAAACACGCACGCGGCAGGAAAAGCGGAAAAUAACAAUCAAAUGCCGCCAAGGAGAAGGAAAAAAGGUGCAAAUCGGAUAAACCCGGGUCACGAUCCAUCAAGAUCAGUUAGGAUUCUUAAAAAAAAGUAUAUCUGAAAUACAAAAAAUGUUUUCUUCAAAACCAACGUAAUUAAUCAAGUGCCAAGCGUCGAGGAAAGCAAAAGUCCCCCUUGACCACUCCGGAAAACAGGAUUAGAACCAAGUGGGAAAUGCCAAGGAAAGGCUGAGGCCAAGGGAAGCCGCAGAUGGCGACAGGUGGGUGGACAGCGGGUGGCCAUUUCCCGAAGGUGAGACCCAAAGCCGAUCAGAAAUCAAGAGCCCCAACAAGCAGGUGCGACUGAAAGUGACUUGCACUGGGGAAUGUUCCGCCGCCAGCGGAUGAGACAACAAACUACACUGGCCAAACAGAACUUUGAUCGCUGAAAUCGGGUUGCAAGAUUGUAUGUUGUAAAGAAUUUAUAAUUUUACAAAAGAGAACCCCUCGAUUUUUUGAAAGAGAUUAGAACUGAUAUGCCUAUCUUUCAAUUUCAUCACGAAACACCCAUCAAGAGCGGUUAAUUAUUAAAAUACAUAAACGAACUGCAAACUAACUUCGAGCACAUGAUUUGAAUUCUGUAAGUUCUCACUGGAGCCCUGUAAAAGCCUGCGAGGCACCUACAAACUGCGAUUAAUUAGUUAAAUACACAUAGCCGCGCACAUGAUUUCACUUGAACCAAAGAUUAAGGCCUGACCGACUAAUUUGACGACGAGUGUAAAUGCGCUUGGCCAGCAAAAGUGCAAAAAGUCGCAUGAAAAAUGCUCGUAUAUUGCCCAUAUCGUACGUACUUUGCCUGGUCGCUUGCUGUUUACUUCACUGUAUACUGGAUACUGGGAUACUGGAUACUGGCACUCUGGCACUGGAUACUCUGGUGGUACUGCUGCCUGUGAAAAUCGCCUCGAACGAACUGAGAAGACCGCCGAGACUGAACGAAAUGUACUGGUACUGGCUGCUACUACGGCGGCUAUAGG